UUAAAACUAGCUAACCAAUUACUUAACAUUAACCCUAUAAUUAAUUCACACUCUUCCAAAAAUUAAAACAUUUUAUAACUUUUAGUAUGGGUGACAGAACAAAGACUCAAGCGCAAUAGAUUUAAGUACCGCAAGGGAAAGCUGAAAAAGAAAUGAAACAAUAACUAAAGUACAGAAAAGCAGAGAUUAAACCUCGUACCUUUUGCAUCAUGAUUUAGCUAGACUAACCAGACAAAGAGACCUUAAGCCUAUCAUCCCGAAACUAGACGAGCUACUCCAGAGCAGCACGAAAGAGCGAACCCAUCUCUGUGGCAAAAGAGUGGAAUGACUCCCGAGUAGCGGUGACAAACCUAUCGAGCCUAGUGAUAGCUGGUUACCCAAAAAAAGAACUUAAAUUCUGCAUUAAUUUUUUAAUGUCAACUAAAAAUUUUCCCAAAGACUAAACAUAAAAAUUAAUAGUUAUUCAAAAAAGGUACAACUUUUCUGAACCAAGAUACAACUUUCCAAGGUGGAUAAUGAUCAUACUUAUCAAGGAUCCUUCCCCCAGUGGGCCUAAAAGCAGCCAUCUGUAAAGCAAGCGUCAUAGCUCCAGCCCUAUAAUAAACCUAUAAUCUAGAUAUCAAUUCCAAAUCCCCUUAAUCAAUAUUGGGUUAUUUUAUAAAAUUAUAAAAGAACUAAUGCUAAAAUGAGUAAUAAGAGGCUAAACCUCUCCCAACACCAGUGUACAUCAGAAAGAAUUAAAUCACUGAUAAUUAAACGACCUCAAACUGAGAAAAUUAUAGAAAUUUAUUAUCAAACUAGAAAACCCUAUUUAAUUACUCGUUAAUCCCUACACAGGAGUGUUAUAUGGCAAAA
This 855-nucleotide ribosomal RNA is filed under the name Hexanchus nakamurai (bigeye sixgill shark). Its description in RNAcentral is "partial 16S ribosomal RNA". The stretch from base 178 to 855 matches the Rfam family "Bacterial large subunit ribosomal RNA", at positions 568 to 1495 of the family's 2925-position model. The record is from RNAcentral. Lineage: Eukaryota; Metazoa; Chordata; Chondrichthyes; Hexanchiformes; Hexanchidae.